GUUGUGGUGGUAGAGGGAGACGGCAGCUGGCGGUGGCGUCCCUCACCUCUCUUCUGUGUGGCCUCUCUCCUGUCUCACCUCUCUCCUCUGUGGCGGCGUCUGCUCCUACCCUCGCCGCCUCGCGUUUUUCUAACACCAGAAGAAUUAUAGAAUUAUACUUGUAUUGGCAACAGUGACUUAAGCUCACAGGGGUGAUAGGAGACAUUUAAAAUCAACACCCUUGUACCAUAAUGGUUAUCCUGUGGAUGGUACUUGCACUGCAUCAGUACAAAACCUUGAAGCUCUUCUCGGCAUCCUGACCUAUACAUUCUGUGCAGCCUGUGGAUAAUACUUGUACAGCAUCAACGCAAAGCCUUGAAACUCUUCUCAGCAUCCUGACUGCUAUUUUCUUGGCAGCCUGUGGAUGCAAGUUAACCAUUCCAUUUAAUAUUUUCAUGUGCACCACUUUUGGAAGUACUGUUUUCCUUAGCACAUUAUUAUUAUUAUUAUCUAACAAACUAAAACGUUCACCCAUGAUAAAAGAAUUGUGCAUCCUAUAUUGGACAUUUAUUGAAUAUUAAUUUUGCAUUUUGCACAGUGUGUUUAUACUCGGUGUAUAAUAUAUAAUGGUGGCAAGUGUUUAAUAUACAGUGGUGGUAAUAUUGAAAAUAAAAAAAGAAAUUUUCUAGCCAUUUUACCAAAUAAUAAAAUAUCUGACUUGCCAUCGUCAUUAUCGACCUGUAGUGUGUGCGCACGUGACAAUAUUUAGAACUUCUGUCAUUAAUUAAAAAAGAUUAUCAAUUUGCAGGAAAUGCAAUAAUUUUGUUGACAAUUUGAUUAAAUAUGCUUGCUAUUUUGAAGAUUUAAAAAAAAAUUUGACAAUCAAAUUUACUAUCUGUACAUGCAAGUAAAUAAAUACUUCAAUAAAAAAUUGGCCAUUUACCAUGUAAGUAUAAACUUCAAGAUAUAAUUGCAAUUGCAUGCUGUGCAGGUUCAUGCAUUCAUUGCUUGAGCAUCUUUUAUGUUCCUAGUUAUAAACGUAUGUACAUGAUAUGAAUCUUGACAAGCAAUAACUCUACCUUAAAAUUUUAAUAAGAUUAAUUUCGGUUACUUUGCAGAGGAUUCUACACUUAAGCAUUCACAUCUUCAUUCAAUGUUCUUGACAUAUCAUAUAUCAACCACUAUUUAGCAGAACCUGAAUAUUUUGUAGUGGUGAGAUGCCAGUUCAUGGUUUUACUUUUAUAAUUGUUCAUAUUAAUUUACCAGGGGCCUCGUAGCCUGGUGGAUAGCGCGCAGGACUCGUAAUUCUGUGGCGCGGGUUCGAUUCCCGCACGAGGCAGAAACAAAUGGGCAAAGUUUCUUUCACCCUGAAUGCCCCUGUUACC
Procambarus clarkii (red swamp crayfish) is the source of this 1364-nucleotide non-coding RNA. The record is from RefSeq and is a predicted model, not a curated record. Lineage: Eukaryota; Metazoa; Arthropoda; Malacostraca; Decapoda; Cambaridae.